UACGUAGGGGGCAAGCGUUGUCCGGAAUCAUUGGGCGUAAAGAGCGUGUAGGCGGUCCGGUAAGUCCGCUGUGAAAGUCAAGGGCUCAACCCUUGAAUGCCGGCGGAUACUGUCGGGCUAGAGUCCGGAAGAGGCGAGUGGAAUUCCUGGUGUAGCGGUGAAAUGCGCAGAUAUCAGGAGGAACACCUAUGGCGAAGGCAGCUCGCUGGGACGGUACUGACGCUGAGACGCGAAAGCGUGGGGAGCAAACAGG
RNAcentral lists this ribosomal RNA (253 nucleotides) under uncultured bacterium. RNAcentral's name for it is "partial 16S ribosomal RNA". It matches the Rfam family "Bacterial small subunit ribosomal RNA", at positions 524 to 776 of the family's 1533-position model. The record is from RNAcentral.